Molecule: ribosomal RNA, 443 nt
Filed under: uncultured bacterium
Lineage: Bacteria
Description: partial 16S ribosomal RNA
Rfam family: Bacterial small subunit ribosomal RNA
Source: RNAcentral
GAUGAACGCUGGCGGCAUGCCUAACACAUGCAAGUCGAUCGGUAAGGCUCUUCGGAGUACACGAGAGGCGGACGGCUGAGUAACGCGUAGGAACACAACCUGCAGUGAGGGAUAAGACACCGAAAGGUGUUCUAAUACCGCAUACGGUCUUCGGAUUAAAGCAUUUAUGCGCUGAAGGAGUGGCCUGGGUCUUAUUAGAUAGUUGGUGAGGUAAUGGCUCACCAAGUCGAUGAUGUGUAGCUGGUCUGAGAGGAUGAUCAGCCAGACUGGAACUGAGACACGGUCCAGACUCCUACGGGAGGCAGCAGUGAGGAAUAUUGCACAAUGAGCGAAAGCUUGAUGGAGCAAUGCCGCGUGCAGGAUGAAGGCCCUCGGGUUGUAAACUGCUUUUAUAAGAGAAGAUUAUGACGGUAACUUAUGAAUAAGGGACGGCUAACUACGUG